This 393-nucleotide ribosomal RNA is filed under the name uncultured bacterium. RNAcentral's name for it is "partial 16S ribosomal RNA". It matches the Rfam family "Bacterial small subunit ribosomal RNA", at positions 523 to 918 of the family's 1533-position model. The record is from RNAcentral.
CUACGUAGGUGACAAGCGUUAUCCGGAUUUACUGGGCGUAAAGGGCGUGUAGGCGGUCUUGCAAGUCAGAAGUGAAAUUCCUGAGCUCAACUCGGGCGCUGCUUCUGAAACUGCAGGACUUGAGUGCUGGAGGGGAUAGCGGAAUUCCUAGUGGAGCGGUAAAAUGCGCAGAUAUUAGGAAGAACACCGGUGGCGAAGGCGGCUAUCUGGACAGUAACUGACGCUGAGGCACGAAAGCGUGGGGAUCAAACAGGAUUAGAUACCCUGGUAGUCCACGCAGUAAACGAUGAUGGCUAACCGCUGGUUUAUUCGGAUCAGUGGCCAAGCGAAAGCGAUAAGCCAUCCACCUGGGGAGUACGACCGCAAGGUUGAAACUCAAAGGAAUUGGCGGGG